UUGGAGGGCAAGUCUGGUGCCAGCAGCCGCGGUAAUUCCAGCUCCAAUAGCGUAUAUUAAAGUUGCUGCAGUUAAAAAGCUCGUAGUUGAAUUUCGGGACUAUCAUGUCGGUCGUGCCUCGGUACGUACUGGUAUUGUUGGUUUCUCCCUUCUGACGAACCAUGAUGUCAUUUAUUUGGUGUUGUGGGGAAUCAGGACUGUUACUUUGAAAAAAUUAGAGUGUUUAAAGCAGGCUCACGCUUGAAUACAUUAGCAUGGAAUAAUGAAAUAGGACGUUUGAUUCUAUUUUGUUGGUUUCUAGGAUCGACGUAAUGAUUAAUAGGGAUAGUUGGGGGCAUUAGUAUUCAAUUGUCAGAGGUGAAAUUCUUGGAUUUAUUGAAGACUAACUACUGCGAAAGCAUUUGCCAAGGAUGUUUUCAUUAAUCAAGAACGAAAGUUAGGGGAUCGAAGACGAUCAGAUACCGUCGUAGUCUUAACCAUAAACUAUGCCGACUAGGGAUCGGAUGAUGUUAAUUUUUUAAUGACUCAUUCGGCGCCUUACGGGAAAC
This 548-nucleotide ribosomal RNA is filed under the name uncultured Glomeromycotina. RNAcentral describes it as "SSU rRNA". It matches the Rfam family "Eukaryotic small subunit ribosomal RNA", at positions 548 to 1098 of the family's 1831-position model. The record is from RNAcentral. Lineage: Eukaryota; Fungi; Glomeromycota.